UACGUAUGGAGCAAGCGUUAUCCGGAAUUACUGGGUGUAAAGGGAGCGUAGGCGGCAAGGCAAGUCUGAUGUGAAAACCCAGGGCCCAACCCCGGGACUGCAUUGGAAACUGUAUUGCUUGAGUACCGGAGAGGCAGGCGGAAUUCCUAGUGUAGCGGUGAAAUGCGUAGAUAUUAGGAGGAACACCAGUGGCGAAGGCGGCCUGCUGGACGGUAACUGACGCUGAGGCUCGAAAGCGUGGGGAGCAAACAGG
Molecule: ribosomal RNA, 253 nt
Filed under: uncultured bacterium
Lineage: Bacteria
Description: partial 16S ribosomal RNA
Rfam family: Bacterial small subunit ribosomal RNA
Source: RNAcentral